UUGCAUACAUAGGAUUAAGAGGUGUUGGUAUCCAUAUCAUCUUGAUCAUGAUUCCAACACUUACUACAUACUUUAUGACUCUCUCACAACCUCUGAAUGGUCAAUGAAGGCCAAUUUGUUAGCUUACAAGAACCAACCGAAUGCUAAAGAUGGAUCUGACACUUCUUCCCCAGAUCAAUAGGAGUGGUUCAUUAACACUUGGUGGUGGUGGAUAUGGGCCUUCUCUCAAGAUAGGAAAGAGAUCUUUAGUAAGAAAGUUUGUAUGCCUCAGAAUAAC
RNAcentral lists this long non-coding RNA (277 nucleotides) under Lathyrus oleraceus (garden pea). RNAcentral describes it as "Pisum sativum (pea) long non-coding RNA (PSAT_LNC035639)". The record is from RNAcentral. Lineage: Eukaryota; Viridiplantae; Streptophyta; Magnoliopsida; Fabales; Fabaceae.